This 318-nucleotide long non-coding RNA is filed under the name Lepisosteus oculatus (spotted gar). RNAcentral describes it as "lncRNA (ENSLOCG00000021590.1)". The record is from RNAcentral. Lineage: Eukaryota; Metazoa; Chordata; Actinopteri; Semionotiformes; Lepisosteidae.
UAGCUUCACCACUUACCAUGUUGGAAUUUGUUGAUUUUUUUGUGAGGAAUAUAGAUAAUCUUUCACGAUCAUGAACAUGCCCAUCAGCAGUGUAAUACAGCUGCUUAUUGUGAGGGCUGUCAAUGAAGAGCUGAUGUGUUGUGUUGAGUUGCACAGUGGCAUGGCAGUGCUCUAAUCCUGAUCUAGGUGUCUGGAUGAUUUAGGAUGCAUCAAAACCUUAAGAUCUGCUACUUUGUUUGGUUUUAAGGGAAAAAAACGAAGAAGAACAAGAACAAAUACCUUAAGCUGAUUUAUCAGCCAACAAAACUCUCUUCAGCU